UUUUUUCAUCUUCUCUAAUCUCUCUUCUCAUAUGUUUUUUAUGUUUUAUUAUAAUGUUUUUAAUAUUAUUUUAAGCUACUAUUAUAUAUAUAUAUAUAUAUUUUUUAUUCCACUUUUUUCUAAUCUAAUUUUUUGUAUAUUGAAUGAGAAGUUUUUCUCUAAAUAUGAUGAGUUUUGAUGUUAUUUACUAAUGUAUGAAUGGCUAAACACAAAGUUACGUUGUUCUCUAUAGGUGUA
RNAcentral lists this long non-coding RNA (237 nucleotides) under Lathyrus oleraceus (garden pea). RNAcentral's name for it is "Pisum sativum (pea) long non-coding RNA (PSAT_LNC014499)". The record is from RNAcentral. Lineage: Eukaryota; Viridiplantae; Streptophyta; Magnoliopsida; Fabales; Fabaceae.